AACUCUCACUGUGGUAACUUCUAAUUCCGUAACUAUCUGUUGAUGACUUUCUAAGGACAGGGCUUGGCGCCGUGGGAGACCCACGCGCGGGUCAUCAAGAGAGUAGAAAGCCAUCUCAGUGCACACUCAGGACUGACAGUGACAAGGAGUCUCUCCUGGGCACCCUGCAGUUACCAGUCUGCAGAAUCCUCAGCACGACUCUGCGUAAAUGCUAUCAAACUGUGACUAUCUCCAUUUUUUCAGAGAAGGAAACCAAGUCUAAAGGAGGGUGCUUUGCUCCCCAGGGGGUCCUAGCCAGCAAGUACCCACUGUCCUAAGUGCUGCCAAGUCAAGACGGUGUUUGAGCAGAGAGGCAAGCCAGACGCAGCCAAGUGGAGCAGGUGAGCAGGCCGCCAGCUUCCAAUGAGACAUAAGUGAAAAACAGCCUUCAGUUUCACUUCAGUGGCCUCCUUGAACUGAGAGGCAUCCGACUGUCAGGCAAGGUGAUGAAAACCCUCGGUAGACACUCCAGAUCUUAGUUCUGGUCAUUAAGUCUCAAGGGUAAU
Molecule: long non-coding RNA, 545 nt
Organism: Callorhinus ursinus (northern fur seal)
Lineage: Eukaryota; Metazoa; Chordata; Mammalia; Carnivora; Otariidae
Source: RefSeq, a predicted model, not a curated record